This 526-nucleotide ribosomal RNA is filed under the name uncultured bacterium. Its description in RNAcentral is "bacterial SSU rRNA". It matches the Rfam family "Bacterial small subunit ribosomal RNA", at positions 28 to 541 of the family's 1533-position model. The record is from RNAcentral.
GAUGAACGCUGGCGGCGUGCCUAACACAUGCAAGUCGAGCGUGAACCCUUAGAAUGAAACUUCGGUCGAAUGACGAGGGGGAAAGCGGCGGACGGGUGAGUAACGCGUAGGCAACCUGCCCCGUACAGAGGGAUAGCCUCGGGAAACCGGGAUUAAAACCUCAUAAUACCAUGGUAUCACAUGAUGCAAUGGUCAAAGAUUUAUCGGUAUGGGAUGGGCCUGCGUCUGAUUAGCUGGUUGGUGGGGUAACGGCCUACCAAGGCAACGAUCAGUAGCCGACCUGAGAGGGUAAUCGGCCACAUUGGAACUGAGACACGGUCCAAAACUCCUACGGGAGGCAGCAGUGGGGAAUAUUGCACAAUGGGCGAAAAGCCUGAUGCAGCAACGCCGCGUGAGCGAAGAAAGGCCUUGGUCGGUAAAGACUCUGUCGGGAAGGGAAGAAUAAUAGACGGUAACUUCCCGUACGGAAAGGACCCCGGCCGUAACUAACGUAGCACGCACGCCGCGGUAAACGUACGUAGUACGU